Molecule: long non-coding RNA, 369 nt
Filed under: Coffea arabica (coffee)
Lineage: Eukaryota; Viridiplantae; Streptophyta; Magnoliopsida; Gentianales; Rubiaceae
Description: long non-coding RNA (CARA_LNC008094)
Source: RNAcentral
CCAUAGGACAUGCAUACCGAUUUUGCAGUUUUGUCUACUAACUCGGGGUAUUUUUCUUUUGUUUCCCCCCUCCCUUGCAUUCAUAAAAAUAUUUCAAUAAGACGGAAAUAUUCUUCUAUAUCUGAUGAUAAUUUUAAUCCAAUGAAGUUUGAAGAUUACAAGUGUUAUUUGAUUCUUGGGCGGGUCCUACGAUGAAAACCCUCUGAGAAAUGUUGUAAUUGUUUUCCAAAGGAAAGUUUUGUAUAUUUGAAAAAGGAGACAAAAAGUGUAUAUGUGGAGCUCUUUACAAUUUUCUCUCUUCUCAUUUGUAUCGUAAUUGAAUGAGAAAUUUUGUUUCAAACUUUUUCAGCAAUAAAUUUUUUGGACAAU